Homo sapiens (human) is the source of this 5345-nucleotide long non-coding RNA. RefSeq lists it as uncharacterized. The record is from RefSeq and is a predicted model, not a curated record. The transcript has 3 exons. NCBI's taxonomy places the organism in Eukaryota, Metazoa, Chordata, Mammalia, Primates, Hominidae.
UCUGACCCUUCUUACUUUUGUGGUGACAGUCACGUUAUCAGGAACUCUAGUGAGCACAGUUCUUUGUGGUUCUUCAUGCAGGUUUAGCAGGGCAGAGCAGUGUCAAGCUCCAGGUACGAGAGGAGAAGUCUGAGGAGGACCAUCAGGCUGGGAGACUGCAGGGGACAGAAAGUUAGAGGGACUGUGAGGUAGAAGGUCUUGAGUUCGCUGACGUUACUCUCAAAAUACUUUCAGGGAGAAUGUGGUUUGUUUUCACUGCAUGAAGUCACUUCGGCCUUCUUCCCUGUCUGUGGGCAAGUUCAGGGUAGAAACUACCAGGUACUCUGAGAACUACGCCAUGGACUUCCCUGCUCAGAGAAGAACAAUCUGCUUCUGACGUUUCACUUUGGUUGUAAAGGACUUCAGGGAUUAUCUCAGCCUCUUCAAACCAAAAUUCCUCUGAAAUGCUUAAAUUGGCCCAGAUAGGGUCAGGUCUGGAAUAAUCAGUUCAGCUUAUGCUGAAAUACUUUAUUUCCAUCCUGCCUGCUUCCACAUCCACUUUUCUGAGCAUUAUUUCCUCCAGAACAAUUUAGAGAUCUCUGAGGAGCUGAUUAGAUGAUGAUGAGGUGAGCAUGCUCCCACCACAUGGCCACAAGGAUUGAUAGAGAUCAAGGACUGAGAGGUUUGGCCCCAAGCUUGACUGAGGAUGAUGUCGGGGAUAUUCCCAAGACCCUCUCUCAGACACAGAUGGUCUGACCCUUUAUUGGUCAUAAGGAUGAAGUGGAAGUUAAUGAGACUCUCAGCUUGGAACUCCCUGGAUGUAAGAUUAUAGCAUAUCUGUUUAUCCAAAGAAUUACGUGUGUCAGAGCAGUAGGUCUUCACAAAUUCAUUAGGUUUAUAACAAUCAACCAUAGUUACAGGAGAAAGAUGCUGUGAGCUCCCUUUAUACCCCUGUUCAGUAUCUGUACAAUCUUACCCUCUAAACGUAUUCCUUCUGUCUCACCUUAAUCAUGUAUUGCUUAUCUAUUUCCUCACAACAGUCUACCUCAAAAUUUGUGGCCUACAAUGGCAACCAUGUAAACCAUGUAUUUGCUUAUGCUUCUGUAAUUUGGACCAGGUUCAGCUGGGCAGUUCCUCUGCCAGUCUCACCCGAGGUCAUGUUCACUGCAGUCAGUUGGCAGGUGAAGGUGUGGGGAGUUGGAGAAAGACUCACUGGUCCCAGCCAGCCUCAAUCACAUGUGUUGGGCCUCAGUGGAGAUGACUGGAACUACUGCGAUGAGUAGGACACUCUCUCCAUGUGAUCACUCAUCCUCAAGGAGACCAGUCUGGGUUUUCUUAAGCCUGGGAGUCACAGGGCAUCAAGAAGGUGAAAGCAGACACUCAGGGCUCAAUAUCACUUCUGCCACAUUCCAUUGAUCAAAGCACAUCAUAGUGCCAGCCAAAAUUCAAGGGGCAGAGGAAAUAGACUCUGCCUUUUAUUGGAUGACAAAUUAACAUUGCAAAGAAGCAUGUAUCUAGGAAUGGAAGAAAUUUCUGGGGCCAUCCUCAUAAUAUAUCACAGUCACUAAAGCUGCAUAUUUAUAAAUUAUUCCUUUCACCCUUUAGAAAUGGCCUGUUCCUUAUUGGCAAGGGCAGAUGGAGACUCCAAUUGGGAUGACUCAUUUAAGUGGGGCUAUAGAAUGAACAUUUUUAUGGAAUGUCAACUGUGUGUAAGCAUUGUAUACAUAUAAUCCUAUUUAAUUCUCAAAACAACUUCAUGAUAGGUCUUACCUCCAUUUUAUUACUAAGAAAGCUGAUGUUCAGGGUGAGUUAAUGAAUUACUGAACGUAACUCAGUUGUCAUGGAGGGAGUUGAGGAUUUCUUCACCUGUAAAAUGGGAAUCAUAAUACUUACCACCAGCAUAGUUGGUAGGAUGAAAUUAAGUGCUUUGUGUGGAAGUGGCUGGUAAACCCCAAAGCACUGUACAAAUGUUAAUUUUCAUUUUCAUUGAGCCAAGCAGACAUUUUGAGGGGAGGAGUGUUGUCUAGGAAGGCGCCAGAGUCAUCUGAGCCAGACACCAACUGUUGUGUGUCUCUCAGCUGCUAUUUACUUUGGCUUCAGACCAAAUCCUUCAUGCAAUGCCUUUGGCGGUCACAGACGAGAAAGAGCCCUGUGGGCCAGGCUGGCAAGCCAGGACAUGCUACAGGUGAAGACAGACACGCUUCCAUUGGAAAAAGGAAGAAACUGAAACAAAGCUCUAAGUGCCUUGCUGCUAUCCUCAACUACUCCGGUUGCAAGGAUUUUUAAUAUUUCACUCAAGGUCACAUACACAACCUUGAAUUGCUCUGAACCUACUUUCUCCCAACUCUUCUUUUCACUAAAUCUCAUCCCAAUUCUUUCCAAACCUCAUUCUCUCAUCAUUAUCCCAUCUGCAUCUUCAAUCUAUACACCCAAUGUUUCCUCCCCCUCCUUGUCUUAUUUGGAUUCUGUAAGACCUAAUUCUUACAGGGACCAGGAGGGAGGGUCAGCCUUUUGCAAAGUCAGCCUUCACCAGUCUUCUCUUUGCACAUCUACCAUCUACCUAAACUAAGAUCUCUUCCUCCUUUGAGGUUUAGGCUGCUCAGAUACACCAUGUUCUUUUUGCCUGCCUUGUUGCUGUCAUCUGUUGACCUCCCAUCAGUCACUACCAUCCUUCUUUGGGAGUUCUGGCAUCUCACUCAUAGCCUACCUGCCGUCACCAAGGACAACUUCAACACUCAUUGAACAUCCUGGACUCAGAAUUCCUCAACUUUUACAACCCCAUUAUGCUUCAUCCAAGACAGCUGAAUACCAUCCAUCCACCGGUGAAAAAGGCUGCAUUGCAUUGCAGAUUGACUAGUUCAACUCACAGAAAUUGUUCACAAAAAAUGCCUAAUGCAGGUGACAAAAGAAAAGUCAAAUUUGGAGUCAGGAAAUCUGGUUUUAGAGUCUUAUCUCAACUCCUUACCAAGUGUUGAAAAUUGAAUAGGGUACACCUUCUCUAAACCUGAGUUUUCUCAUACUUAAAAAUGAGGAAUAAUAGUUUCUAUAACACUAGGACAUAGUAAAAACCAAAUGGGAUCUAGAGUGGAAAAAAAUUAUAAACUGUAGGAUACUCAACAAAUAUCACUAUAAACCCUUGAAAGAAAAUGUUUAUGAUUGUAUAAAUUAUAUGAAUCCAAUUUUUUUGUGUUAAGCCAAAAAUGAAAAGAGAACAAAAAUCAUGAAUUCUGGUUCAGAUGAUGGAUUGAAUGCAUUCUUCUAUUUUCACUCCAUCCCAAACUCCUGGAUAUUUUAAAUCAAGAGUGAGAAGAAUGAGAAAAGAGACAAUUAUAGCAAUGUAUUGGAAGCAUGUGGUAAAUAAUAACAAAACAGAGAAAACUACAUCCUUGGGCAGCUUUGGGAAAGCAGAGAGGGAACUGGAUUUAUACUACAAAAUUUCCAAAACAAUCAGCUGCCAGAACACUGGAAGCCAGGCGUUCACCUUACAGGCAGAAGAUUGGACAUACCUUCUCUGGGAAACCUGACUAGCUCAAGAGGAAACAUCUUAAGAUAUUGACAUUGGGAGUUCCAGCCAGAUCACCCUAUAAAGAAACUAUAUUCAACAAGACCCAUCCAUGUUUUGAAGCCUUUAAUCAGUUUUUUAGUGCCUCAAACAUGUAAACAUAAGCAAAGACCAUCAGACAUAUGAGGAAAGCUUCUAAUGUGAGCAAUAGAAAUACUACUGGUUUUUGUAUGUUGAUUUGUUUCUUGUAACUUUACUGCAUUCAUUUAUUCUAACAAGUUUUUGUGUGUGUGUGUGUGACAGUUUUAGGGUUUCCUAGAAAGAAAAUCAUGUCAUCUAUGAGCAGAGACAAUUUAACUUUUUCCUAAUUUGGAUACCUUUUAUUUUUCUUGCCUAAUUGCUUUGGCUAGGAUUUCCAGUAUUAUGUUGAAUAGAAAUGGUGAGAGUGGGCAUCCUUGUCUUGUUCCAGAUCUUAGAGGAAAAGUUUUUAACUUUGCACUAGUAUGAUGUUAGCUGUGGGCUUGUUAUAUAUGGCAUUUAUUGUGUUGAAGUACAUUAUCUAGUUUGUUGAGUUUGUAUCAUGAAAAGAUGUUGAACUUUGUCAAAUGCUUUUUGUGCAUCUACUGAGAUAAUCAUAUGUUUUUUCCUUCAUUCUGUUAAUGCAGUAUAUUACAAUUAUUGAUUUGCAUAUGUCAAACUAUCUUUGCAUCCCAAAGAUAAAUCCCACUUGAUUAUGGUGAAUGGUCUUUUUAAUGUGCUAUUGAAUUUGGUUUGCUCAUAUUUUGUGGAAGAUUUUUGCAUCUUUGUUCAUUAGGCAUAUAGGCCUGUAAUUGUCUUUUCUUGCUGUGUCGUUGUCUGGCUUUGGUGUCAGGGUAAUGUUGGCUUGUAAAAUGAGUUCAGAAGAAUUCCUCCUCUUCAAUUUUUUUGGAAGAGCUUGAGAAAACUGGUAUUAAUUCUUCUUUAAAUGUUUGGUAGAAUUUAGCCUUGAAGCAAUCCCUGAGUUUUUCUUUGAUGGAAUAUUUUUAUUUCUGGUUCAAUCUCCUUACUCAUUAUUGAUCUGUUCAGAUUUUCUAUUUCUUCAUGAUUCAGUCUUAGUAUGUUAUAUGUUUCCAGGAAUUUACCCAUUUCUUCUAGGUUAUCGAAUUUGCUGCUGUGUAAUUAUUCAUAGUAGUCCCUUAUGAUUCUGUGUAUUUCUGUGGUAUCAGUUGUAAUGUUCCCUCUUUCACUUCUAAUUUUACUUAUUUUUCUUUGUUAAUCUAGCUAAAGUUUUGUCAAUUUUGUUUAUGUUUUUGAAAACCAAUUAUUCACUUUGUUUAUCUAUUGUUUUCUAGUCUCUAUUUCAUUUAUUUCUGCUCUGAUCUUUGUUAUUUCCUUUGUUCUUCUAAUUUUGGGUUUAAUUUUUACUUUUUUCUUGUUUACUGAGGUAUGACAUUAAGUUGUUUAUUUGAGAUGCUUCUUUUUUAAUGUAGGCAUGUAUUGCUGUAAACUUUCCUCUUAGAAACUGCUUUUGCUGCAUCCUAUAAGUCUCAGAAUGUUGUGUUUCCAUCUUCAUUUGUCUCAAGAUAUUUUUAAAUUUUCCUUUACAUUUCUUCUUUGACCCAUUGGUUGAUUGUUCAGGAGCAUGUCAUUUAAUUUCCACAUAUUUGUGAAUUGUCCAGAAUUCCUCCUGUUAUUAAUUUUUAUCAUACCAUUGUGGUUAGAAAAGAUACUUGAUAUUAUUUCAAUCUUCUUAAAUUUGUUGAGACUUGUUUUGUGGCCUAACAUAUGAUCUAUCCUGGAGAAUGUCUCAAGUGCACUUGAGAAGAAUGUGUAUCCUGCUUCUGUUGGUUGGAAAGAAACACAAAAAUAAAUCAAUUUAGAGGAA